RNAcentral lists this ribosomal RNA (496 nucleotides) under uncultured bacterium. RNAcentral describes it as "partial 16S ribosomal RNA". It matches the Rfam family "Bacterial small subunit ribosomal RNA", at positions 30 to 523 of the family's 1533-position model. The record is from RNAcentral.
AUUGAACGCUGGCGGCAGGCCUAACACAUGCAAGUCGAGCGCGAAAGUCUUCGGUUGAGUAGAGCGGCGGACGGGUGCGUAACGCGUAGGAAUCUACCUAGUAGUGGGGGACAACUCGGGGAAACUCGAGCUAAUACCGCAUACGCCCUAAGGGGGAAAGUGGGGGACCGUAAGGCCUCAAGCCAUUAGAUGAGCCUGCGUAGGAUUAGCUAGUGGGUAGGGUCAAGGCCGUACCAAGGCGACGAUCCUUAGCUGGUCUGAGAGGAUGAUCAGACACACUGGAACUGAGACACGGUCCAGACUCCGACGGGAGGCAGCAGUGGGGAAUCUUGCACAAUGGGCGAGAGCAUAAUGCAGCCAUGCCGCGUGUGUGAAGAAGGCCUUCGGGUUGUAAAGCACUUUAAGUGGGGAGAAAAGGGUAGUCAUUAACACUGGCUAUCUGUGAUGUUACCCACAGAAUAAGCACCGGCAAACUUCGUGCCAGCCGCCGCAGUAA